UGUCUUAUAUUCAAUUAUGAUAUAAAAUUGCAAAUUUUAAGAUAUAGAAAUUAGUUCUAUUAAGGCUU
Molecule: transfer RNA, 68 nt
Filed under: Leiometopon simyrides
Lineage: Eukaryota; Metazoa; Arthropoda; Insecta; Lepidoptera; Noctuidae
Description: tRNA-Cys
Source: RNAcentral